ACGGGAUUGGUGGAAUUGGUAGACACAUCGUGUUUAAGUCUCGAUGUCGAAAGACGUAGGAGUUCGAGUCUCCUAUCCCGUA
This 82-nucleotide transfer RNA is filed under the name Caudoviricetes sp. Its description in RNAcentral is "tRNA-Leu". It matches the Rfam family "tRNA". Rfam says of the family: Transfer RNA (tRNA) molecules are approximately 80 nucleotides in length. Their secondary structure includes four short double-helical elements and three loops (D, anti-codon, and T loops). Further hydrogen bonds mediate the characteristic L-shaped molecular structure. tRNAs have two regions of fundamental functional importance: the anti-codon, which is responsible for specific mRNA codon recognition, and the 3' end, to which the tRNAs corresponding amino acid is attached (by aminoacyl-tRNA synthetases). tRNAs cope with the degeneracy of the genetic code in two manners: having more than one tRNA (with a specific anti-codon) for a particular amino acid; and 'wobble' base-pairing, i.e. permitting non-standard base-pairing at the 3rd anti-codon position. Lineage: Duplodnaviria; Heunggongvirae; Uroviricota; Caudoviricetes. The record is from RNAcentral.